GGAAGGAUCAUUAUUGAUUGUGAAUCGUUGCCUUCAGUGCUGGCCCCGGCAAGUGCACGUUGGUGACUUUCAUCCAAUACCCAUGUGAACUUCUGGCCUCUUGCUAGCUUCGGCUGGCAGAGGAUUUUUACACACACUCGAAUGUAAUGAAACCUAUUGUUGUGCGCAAGCACUAAUGUACAACUUUCAACAACGGAUCUCUUGGCUCUCGCAUCGAUGAAGAACGCAGCGAAAUGCGAUAAGUAAUGUGAAUUGCAGAAUUCAGUGAAUCAUCGAAUCUUUGAACGCACCUUGCACCCUUUGGCAUUCCGAAGGGUAUGCUCGUUUGAGUGUCAUUGUACUCUCACACUCUCCAAUCCUCUGGAUCCGGGGAGUGGUGGACUUGGGCGUCUGCUGCUUGACCGUGGCUCGCUUUAAAUGGAUUAGUGCAACUCUUGGUUGGACAUAGUACGGCGUGAUAAGUGUCUUCGCCGGCACCUCGGAAGAGGGUGACUGAUUGAGAGCUCUGUGCUUCAAACUGUCUUCGGACAACCUCUGACAACUUGACCUCAAAUCGAGUAGGACUACCCGCUGAACUUAAGCAUAUCAAUAAGCGGAGGAAAAGAAACUAACAAGGAUUCCCCUAGUAACGGCGAGUGAA
RNAcentral lists this unclassified non-coding RNA (640 nucleotides) under uncultured Sebacina. RNAcentral describes it as "sequence contains ITS1, 5.8S rRNA gene, ITS2". The stretch from base 182 to 335 matches the Rfam family "5.8S ribosomal RNA". The record is from RNAcentral. Lineage: Eukaryota; Fungi; Basidiomycota; Agaricomycetes; Sebacinales; Sebacinaceae.